This is a long non-coding RNA of Columba livia (rock pigeon), 2348 nucleotides long. RefSeq lists it as uncharacterized. The transcript is spliced from 4 exons. The record is from RefSeq and is a predicted model, not a curated record. Lineage: Eukaryota; Metazoa; Chordata; Aves; Columbiformes; Columbidae.
GCUGCCUGUACAGUCCCACAGUUGUUCCUUCGCAAGUCUCUGGCAGUGUAAGAAAGACUGCAGAGGCAACCAGUCUCUGUCCUAGUUUUUCCAGUUCAGCUUGGACCUUAAUACAAAAUCUUUUUGACUUGGUUGAUUUCAGAAAACGUGCUGCAGCUGUACAUGGUGGCCAAUGUCCCUCUGCCUGGGGACAUUGUGCUUGUCUGGUGUUGCACCAACCCCUGAAGUUGCAGUGAGACUCUUUCAGUAGGAGGAGGGAUGAGGAAAGAGGUUCAGAUCAAGGAGUGUGGAAGAAGAUAAGGGAAAAAUCUAGGAACUGAAGACUGGCUCUGAAGAGAAACAAGGAACAUCAUGUGGAGAGGUAAUGGUGAGAAGUGCUACUUCCUUCAUAUGAACUGGCUUAAUUUCUGGAUCCUUGAUGGAGAAGUCUGAAGUUUAAGCUUUUUUCCUCUCCUAUUUCCCCCAUUGGUCUUACAGCAAAUGAAUAUGCAACAGCCUGGUUGAAAUCACAAAUCUUUAAUCAAAAUGAGAAGUUUAGGAUUUUCCAGACUUCUUUACAGAAUUCAGCCUUGUAGUUUUAUAUCGGACAAAACUCAGUGAACAUUCUAGCCUUCAAGGCAUCAAAGCCAAGCAUCUAAUUCAGUUCUAUGUGGGACAAGAUUUUGUCAAAACAUUCAGAGACUGGAAACACAUGGAUAAAAAUAUAUACUUCUCAAUUUUUAACUAUGUAUUUAGAAUAGAUUUAGCCCAAGUCUUGACAAGAGUAAAUUUAGCACAAGUAUGAGAAAUAAAAAUUUAGAAUCAUAGAAUGUCCUGAGUUGGAAGGGACCCAUAAGGAUCAUCAAGUCCAACUCCUCUCCCUGCAUACGACAACACCACAGUUCACAUCAUGUGUCUGAGGGCAUUGUCAAGUAUCUUCUUGAAUACUGUCAGGUUUGGGGCCAUGACUACCUCAAUUUAUGGCAGUGUAGAAUAUAUGCAAGACAGAGAGAUACUAACAUCACGUAAGGAAAGAAAAAAAAUUGCCUAUUGAGAGUGCUAAACUAAAAAUGAUGUGAGAGAGGAUAAUAAAUUGAUUUUUAUGACCUAAAAGACAUUUUUUCCUCUUAUUUUUUUCUCUAAAGUUCUUCUGUGUCUGUUGUUUAUUUUUCCCCCUCAUAAUGUAGAGAUACCUACUGUAGAAGUGUACAGAUCUGAAAUAAGUAAUUUGAUGUGUUCUUUAAAAUAAUUUUAAAAAAGAAGAGGAUCUGAAUUGUUCUCUACCUUCUGCUGCAUUUUACUUCCUAAAGAUUUCCUUGCAAAUCAAACAAUGUAUGGACUGCUAAGCAGGCAGUAUAAUAACUGUCUUUUAGUGAAUAACAGCAUGAAAAAAUCCUGUAAAAAUGUUUUUGCACUCAAACAACAACUUCUUUUUUUUUGAAGUUUGCCUGUAACAAUCUCUGAUGUUUCUGUUUGAUCAAUUAAAUUAUCCAUGCCUCUAUCUCCUGAAAGUUAGCUGAUUGUUUUUUCUUACAUGAGGAAAGAUUUCAAUAACAGAGAAUAUAGCUGCUUUGCAUUCUAUGGAAUAAAAAGAACAGUAUCUAAUGGCAAUUUAUUUUAUCCUAAAAUACAUUUGUAGUUUGUUAAAGAUGAAUUAUCCUAUAGAAGUAACUUGUUCCAUCUCUGUUAACUGUAAAAUAUACAGUAGAGAAACUUCUGCUAGAUGCUUGAGGUUAUAAAUGAACACCAUCCUAAAAUAUUACAAUAUUGAGUUCAAAUCCUUCUGAAGUUGCCUGUUUCUUUCUAUAUCUACAUUUAAUGAGAUUAGGCUUAGGAGUUUGUCCCUAAAUAUCUAAAACCAAGUAAGAUUCAUUCUUUCUAAAUACAGACAUUAUUAGCAACACAGUUAUAACUGUAAGGUUUAAAAUUACAUAGGACAUCUUUCCUUACAACAUUGCCUGAUUAUAUUACUUAAAUAACUGAAGCUAAAAAAUGCAGUUAAAAUGAAACACACUUGGUUUAAAAGAAUUUGACUACUUAAAGUACUUUUGGAGUGAGUCUCUUAGCUUUACAAAUGGGUAGACUAUUUGAUUUGAAACAGCAUAGGUCUGCUGACAUUGAAUAUUUACUGCGAAGUCAGUGUGGUGGUUAUUGUACUUAGUAAGGACAUGACUGUUUAGAGACAUUUAUUUUUAUAAUUAUUUGCUGGACUAUUGUAUGGUAGUUGUACUAUAUUGUUUAAAGUUUGUUACCCCCUUUUUUUACUUCCAUCACCAUGUGUCUCAGGGUGCCCAGGGCUACUGAUGUAUACCUUUGUAUGUGUGCUAAUUUAAUGAAAAGGAACAAAAUUAAAAAAAAAAAAAAGUCAA